Molecule: small nuclear RNA, 159 nt
Filed under: Strix occidentalis caurina (northern spotted owl)
Lineage: Eukaryota; Metazoa; Chordata; Aves; Strigiformes; Strigidae
Description: U4 spliceosomal RNA (ENSSOCG00000015416.1)
Rfam family: U4 spliceosomal RNA (bases 1-68)
Source: RNAcentral
AGCUUUGCGUAGUGGCAGUAUCAUAGCCAAUGAAGUUAAUCCGAGGUGUGAUUAUUGCUAAAAAUAUCGGUCAGUGUGAGGUUAAUGGUUGGACUCAUGAUCUUCAAGGUCUUUUCCAACCCAGAUGAUUCUGGGAUUCUGUGAAAACUUGCGCCUAAG